GGGGUUGACUGGAUUUGACAGCGGGCAGAAAUGGUAGGUAAGCAUGCAGUGGGUCGGUAAUUUCCACUUAAAUCUCAGUUAUCAAAAUUUUAUCUGGCGAAACUAAUUACGCUCUUGCUGCUUAAUCGAAGUAUAGUAGAUUAGCUUUAUCCUGAUACAAGGUGUCGGGACGAGACAUCACUCGGAAGCUGUUGCUCCGAAGCAUUCCGGUAAAGUGGUGCAGUGAAAUCGGGGAUAGUUCGAAGCGGCCUCGCGUUUCGGAUGAAACUUUAGAGGAUAAGGCAGGGAUUGAUGGCUUUGGUUCUGUCCUUGCACGAAAACUUAGGCAAAGAUAAGCAUGUAGAAAGCUUAUGAUUUCCUCGUUUGGACGAGGGUUCGAUUCCCUCCAGCUCCACAA
Bacteroides pyogenes JCM 6292 is the source of this 397-nucleotide non-coding RNA. The record is from Rfam. NCBI's taxonomy places the organism in Bacteria, Pseudomonadati, Bacteroidota, Bacteroidia, Bacteroidales, Bacteroidaceae.